Molecule: ribosomal RNA, 417 nt
Filed under: uncultured bacterium
Lineage: Bacteria
Description: bacterial SSU rRNA
Rfam family: Bacterial small subunit ribosomal RNA
Source: RNAcentral
UCGGGAAUAUUGCGCAAUGGAGGAAACUCUGACGCAGUGACGCCGCGUAUGGGAAGAAGGUUUUCGGAUUGUAAACCAUUUUAGACAAGGAAGAAAAAAGACAGUACUUGUAGAAUAAGCUCCGGCUAACUACGUGCCAGCAGCCGCGGUAAUACGUAGGGAGCAAGCGUUAUCCGGAUUUAUUGGGUGUAAAGGGUGCGUAGACGGGAAGGUAAGUUAGUUGUGAAAUCCCUCGGCUCAACUGAGGAACUGCGAAACUAAAACUGCUUUUCUUGAGUACUGGAGAGGAAAGUGGAAUUCCUAGUGUAGCGGUGAAAUGCGUAGAUAUUAGGAGGAACACCAGUGGCGAAGGCGACUUUCUGGACAGUAACUGACGUUGAGGCACGAAAGUGUGGGGAGCAAACAGGAUUAGAUACC